Molecule: ribosomal RNA, 253 nt
Filed under: uncultured bacterium
Lineage: Bacteria
Description: partial 16S ribosomal RNA
Rfam family: Bacterial small subunit ribosomal RNA
Source: RNAcentral
UACGAAGGGGGCUAGCGUUGUUCGGAAUUACUGGGCGUAAAGCGUGCGCAGGCGGCUUCUCAAGUCAGGGGUGAAAGCCCAGAGCUCAACUCUGGAAUUGCCUUUGAGACUGAGUGGCUUGAGUACGAGAGAGGUGAGUGGAAUUCCCAGUGUAGAGGUGAAAUCCGUAGAUAUUGGGAAGAACACCGGUGGCGAAGGCGGCGACCUGGUCCUUGACUGACGCUGAGGCGCGAAAGCGUGGGGAGCAAACAGG